Molecule: ribosomal RNA, 497 nt
Filed under: uncultured bacterium
Lineage: Bacteria
Description: partial 16S ribosomal RNA
Rfam family: Bacterial small subunit ribosomal RNA
Source: RNAcentral
GAUGAACGCUGGCGGCGUGCCUAAUACAUGCAAGUCGAGCGAACAGACGAGGAGCUUGCUCCUCUGACGUUAGCGGCGGACGGGUGAGUAACACGUGGAUAACCUACCUAUAAGACUGGGAUAACUUCGGGAAACCGGAGCUAAUACCGGAUAAUAUAUUGAACCGCAUGGUUCAAUAGUGAAAGACGGUGUUGCUGUCACUUAUAGAUGGAUCCGCGCCGCAUUAGCUAGUUGGUAAGGUAACGGCUUACCAAGGGAACGAUGCGUAGCCGACCUGAGGGGGUGAUAGGCCACACUGGAACUGGGACACGGUCCAGACUCCUAAGGGAGGCAGCAGUAGGGAAUCGUCCGCAAUGGGCGAAAGCUUGACGGAGCAACGCCGCGUGAGUGAUGAAGGUCUUCGGAUCGUAAAACUCUGUUAUUAGGGAAGAACAAAUGUGUAAGUAACUAUGCACGUCUUGACGGUACCUAAUCAGAAAGCCACGGCUAACUACGUG